Molecule: ribosomal RNA, 1725 nt
Filed under: Yersinia enterocolitica
Lineage: Bacteria; Pseudomonadati; Pseudomonadota; Gammaproteobacteria; Enterobacterales; Yersiniaceae
Description: bacterial LSU rRNA
Rfam family: Bacterial large subunit ribosomal RNA
Source: RNAcentral
GUUGGGUAGGGGAGCGUUCUGUAAGCCGUUGAAGGUGACCUGUGAGGGUUGCUGGAGGUAUCAGAAGUGCGAAUGCUGACAUAAGUAACGAUAAUGCGGGUGAAAAACCCGCACGCCGGAAGACCAAGGGUUCCUGUCCAACGUUAAUCGGGGCAGGGUGAGUCGACCCCUAAGGCGAGGCUGAAAAGCGUAGUCGAUGGGAAACAGGUUAAUAUUCCUGUACUUGGUGUUACUGCGAAGGGGGGACGGAGAAGGCUAGGCUAGCCGGGCGACGGUUGUCCCGGUUUAAGCAUGUAGGCGGAGCGACUUGGUAAAUCCGGUUGCUUAUCAACGCUGAGGUGUGAUGACGAGCCACUACGGUGGUGAAGUAGUUGAUGCCAAGCUUCCAGGAAAAGCCUCUAAGCAUCAGGUAACAUUAAAUCGUACCCCAAACCGACACAGGUGGUCAGGUAGAGAAUACUCAGGCGCUUGAGAGAACUCGGGUGAAGGAACUAGGCAAAAUGGUGCCGUAACUUCGGGAGAAGGCACGCUGGCAUUAGGUAAAGGGACUUGCUCCCGGCGCCGAAGCCAGUCGCAGAUACCAGCUGGCUGCAACUGUUUAAUAAAAACACAGCACUGUGCAAACACGAAAGUGGACGUAUACGGUGUGACGCCUGCCCGGUGCUGGAAGGUUAAUUGAUGGGGUCAGCCUCACGGCGAAGCUCUUGAUCGAAGCCCCAGUAAACGGCGGCCGUAACUAUAACGGUCCUAAGGUAGCGAAAUUCCUUGUCGGGUAAGUUCCGACCUGCACGAAUGGCGUAAUGAUGGCCAGGCUGUCUCCACCCGAGACUCAGUGAAAUUGAACUCGCUGUGAAGAUGCAGUGUACCCGCGGCAAGACGGAAAGACCCCGUGAACCUUUACUAUAGCUUGACACUGAACAUUGAGCCUUGAUGUGUAGGAUAGGUGGGAGGCAUUGAAGUGUGGACGCCAGUCUGCAUGGAGCCAACCUUGAAAUACCACCCUUUAAUGUUUGAUGUUCUAACUCGGCCCCAUAAUCUGGGGUGAGGACAGUGUCUGGUGGGUAGUUUGACUGGGGCGGUCUCCUCCCAAAGAGUAACGGAGGAGCACGAAGGUUAGCUAAUCACGGUCGGACAUCGUGAGGUUAGUGCAAAGGCAUAAGCUAGCUUGACUGCGAGAGUGACGGCUCGAGCAGGUACGAAAGUAGGUCUUAGUGAUCCGGUGGUUCUGAAUGGAAGGGCCAUCGCUCAACGGAUAAAAGGUACUCCGGGGAUAACAGGCUGAUACCGCCCAAGAGUUCAUAUCGACGGCGGUGUUUGGCACCUCGAUGUCGGCUCAUCACAUCCUGGGGCUGAAGUAGGUCCCAAGGGUAUGGCUGUUCGCCAUUUAAAGUGGUACGCGAGCUGGGUUUAGAACGUCGUGAGACAGUUCGGUCCCUAUCUGCCGUGGGCGUUGGAAGAUUGAGAGGGGCUGCUCCUAGUACGAGAGGACCGGAGUGGACGAAUCACUGGUGUUCGGGUUGUCAUGCCAAUGGCAUUGCCCGGUAGCUAAAUUCGGAAGAGAUAACCGCUGAAAGCAUCUAAGCGGGAAACUUGCCUCGAGAUGAGUCUUCCCUGGGGCUUUAAGCCCCCUGAAGGAACGUUAAAGACUAUGACGUUGAUAGGCUGGGUGUGUAAGUGCAGCGAUGCAUUGAGCUAACCAGUACUAAUGAUCCGUGAGGCUUAACC